GGAUUGGAUCGUCUGAGCGCGUGCCUCCCUCGUGUGUUCGAAUCCCGUAACUGCAACUUCGGAGUCGUUUACCGUUGCUAGGCAACACCCAGGUAAAUCUGACUCAAACGGAUUUUACAACAGUCACACAUCCGCUGCAUUCCCGCUUAGCAGACAUGUCGGGAGUGGAGGACUACGAUCGUCAAAACGCUGUAAUGAUGGAGAGAAUCACAGUAGAAAUCUGAAGAUCUCCGAGGAGAUCGUCAUGAACCCACACCGGCCCGGUCCGCUCAGUUCAUGUCCUCGCUGACAACCUCACGUCCAGGAAACCCCCGGAGGCAACGGCAGUCGACCCUCCGGUCAUUGAAGUUCAAAAAAAGGGAAAGGAUUUCCGCAGACGUCGCACGGAUGUCACAGCAACACAUAUCUUUCCCAUUUGUGGAAAAAAUACAAAAGAAAAGUGAUUGAAAUUAUGUUGGGUUUUUUACAAACAUACAACAGUAACACAAAGUGGACCUGUUCUUUGCAAACUAAGCCAUGACUUUCCACAGGCCACACUCACCAAUG
Molecule: non-coding RNA, 546 nt
Organism: Nothobranchius furzeri (turquoise killifish)
Lineage: Eukaryota; Metazoa; Chordata; Actinopteri; Cyprinodontiformes; Nothobranchiidae
Source: RefSeq, a predicted model, not a curated record